Molecule: non-coding RNA, 557 nt
Organism: Mesocricetus auratus (golden hamster)
Lineage: Eukaryota; Metazoa; Chordata; Mammalia; Rodentia; Cricetidae
Source: the annotation of a RefSeq genome assembly
ACUGAUUUGCAUUGGCACCUCCAACUCAGCCCAGCUUCUUGGAGUUUAUAAACCAGGCCUUGAUAGUGAGAACAAAGCAGACAGGCAGGGGGAGCAAGAUGGUGUCACAGACCAAGGUUCUCAUGUUCUUGAUGCUCUGGGUAUCUGGUGCCUGUGCAGAUGUCAGGAUGACCCAGUCUCCAACCUCUUUGGCUAUGUCAGCAGGAGACAAGGUCACCAUCAGUUGCAAGUCCAGUGAGAGUCUUUCAUUUAGUAGCUAUAACCUCUUGGCCUGGUACCAGCAGAAACCAGGACAGCCUCCUAAACUCCUGAUCUACUAUGCAUCUACUCGACACACUGGGGUCCCUGAUCGCUUCAUAGGCAGUGGAUCUGGGACAGAUUUCACUCUCACCAUCAGCAGUGUCCAGGCUGAAGACAUGGGGGAUUAUUACUGUAUGCAGUUUUAUGUUAAUCCUCCCACAGUGCUUCAGCCUCCAACAAAAACCUCCUCUCAGAGUCUCACCAGCUGCUUGUACCACACACAGGCCUGGACCUACGCACUUCCUCCUCCUGCCUGA